Long non-coding RNA from Lolium rigidum, 1401 nucleotides. RefSeq lists it as uncharacterized. NCBI's taxonomy places the organism in Eukaryota, Viridiplantae, Streptophyta, Magnoliopsida, Poales, Poaceae. The record is from RefSeq and is a predicted model, not a curated record. The transcript has 3 exons.
GGCGAGCCGGUGAGGCCGCCGCCCGUCCACGGCGACCGCUGCUCUUCACCGUACAUCGUCUGGGUCUCUGGAUCCGGCGACGGAGGCCUCCAUCCGCCAUCUGAACGCGCGCAUCGGAGCUGGGGACAAAAGCGACGGCGGAAUCGGUGCGGCUGACGUCGCGGUUCCGCCGGGUUGGCUCCUGCAGCGUCAGCGCCAAGCUGCGGACGGAGAGCCACCAGGAGGACGCCGUCGAGCUCGGCAAAUUUGCUCGCCGCUUCGCCACGACCUAGUGUGUCGAGCUACUAGUCUGCUGCCGGUGACCUUCACAGUAAGCUGCUGCUGGUUCAAAGCUUUUAGAGGAGGAGAUGAACAGGGUGCUGGGAGGCGGCGUUGGAGGUGCGGUGGCAAACGUCAUAUGCAGAAUUGCAGCGGGGAGGCCCUCAGGCGGCUUGGCUGCGAAUUGACUAUUUGUUCUUCAGAUGUAGUGCUCGAAUUUGUUCUAGAUUAAAUGCAUGAGUUGGUUCAGAUUAGUUGGACAGUAAGAUGAAGUCAAUAUCUCCUUUGAUGAAGUCUUAUUUUUUUGCUGAUGCAUGGUAGUUCCUUAAUUGGUCACUGUUUAUUAGAAAAUCUGUUGUUGUUGAUUUUGACUGAGCUGUGUCUAUUUCUCACUCAAUGAGACCUUGAGUCACUUCCUUAUGAUGAGUGGCUUGAUUCCUUGUAUGUUCUGACAGAAUACUAUUGCUGCAUGCAGUAUUUGGCUCUCCAAUCCUGCUCCUUUGGCUUCGACAACUAACCUCCGACAGUGGCGGUCUGUUCUUGGUCUCCACUAUUUAGGUGAGAUUCAGUCCUAUCCAUGGUUGUGCUGGGCUCUGGCCAGCGAGCUGACGAGCUGUUCCUUAAGCCUUUAGUGGUGGUGGUAUGAUUUGCUCAUUGGUUGAUCUCACUUUCCUGUUGGUAUCGAUCUCGUCGAGCCUAUUGCCCUGGCAUAUCUAGCUAUGUCAGUUUGCUUAAUCUAGUGAUGUCUGUAGGUACUUUGUAUUGGAAUUGGGCUCUGUGCAGCCACACCAAACUAGCUCGUUUUGUUUUUGUGGCUAUAUUUUGCUUCUGCUGGUAUGGAGGAUAUCAUGCAGAUUGUGCUCUUUGGAUUGGUAAAAACAUAUUGCUUGUAGCCUGCUGAAUAGGACCUAUUGUACAUGCUCUUAGGUAGUACUGGUGCCCAAGUGAUUUUUGUUGCUGCUGGGUAGUAAUGGAUGAUUGAAGAGAGUGUGUUUUCCUUUGUGAACGGCCAGCCUGUAGAACCACGUAUAGCUGCUUCUUGUAAUUGUUUUGCAGUAUCCUUGUUGCAAACAGACAAGUUGAAGUGUGCAUUGUGUAUUAGUGUGCUGUUAUUUUGGAAACAUCUGUAUUUGUUUUGCGUAC